Molecule: ribosomal RNA, 253 nt
Filed under: uncultured bacterium
Lineage: Bacteria
Description: partial 16S ribosomal RNA
Rfam family: Bacterial small subunit ribosomal RNA
Source: RNAcentral
UACAGAGGGUGCGAGCGUUAAUCGGAAUUACUGGGCGUAGAGCGUGCGUAGCCGGUUAUGUAAGUCAGGUGUGAAAGCCCCGGGCUCAACCUGGGAAUUGCAUUUGAGACUGCAUAGCUAGGGUGCGGAAGAGGGAAGCGGAAUUUCCGGUGUAGCGGUGAAAUGCGUAGAUAUCGGAAGGAACAUCAGUGGCGAAAGCGGCUUCCUGGUCCAGCACCGACGUUCAGGCACGAAAGCGUGGGGAGCAAACAGG